Molecule: ribosomal RNA, 213 nt
Filed under: Salmonella enterica subsp. enterica serovar Enteritidis
Lineage: Bacteria; Pseudomonadati; Pseudomonadota; Gammaproteobacteria; Enterobacterales; Enterobacteriaceae
Description: partial 23S ribosomal RNA
Rfam family: Bacterial large subunit ribosomal RNA
Source: RNAcentral
CCUGGCAGUCAGAGGCGAUGAAGGGCGUGCUAAUCUGCGAUAAGCGCCGGUAAGGUGAUAUGAACCGUUAUAACCGGCGAUACCCGAAUGGGGAAACCCAGUGUGACUCGUCACACUAUCAUUAACUGAAUCCAUAGGUUAAUGAGGCGAACCGGGGGAACUGAAACAUCUAAGUACCCCGAGGAAAAGAAAUCAACCGAGAUUCCCCCAGUA